Molecule: long non-coding RNA, 2214 nt
Filed under: Homo sapiens (human)
Lineage: Eukaryota; Metazoa; Chordata; Mammalia; Primates; Hominidae
Description: PREDICTED lncRNA (TCONS_00085890)
Source: RNAcentral
CAGUAAACACACUGCGCAUGCUCCCCUCCCCAGCGCUAGCAGGCCACUACUGCGCAUGCGGACAGCCCACCCCAAGGGAAGAAAGGGAAGAAUCGUGGGGAGAAGCAACGCAAGACCCCGGAAGCAUGCCAACGUGUAAAACCCCAAGUCAAAGGUCAAACAGUGCACUGGAUCUCUCAAGUCGCCUGCUUGGCCCUCUACUAAAAAGGGAGAUGCCAUGUGCUGGCCCAGCACUCCAACAGGGGCCUGACCUCUAGGAACGGGACACUGGAGGAAGCCUAGACAUCUGAACAAAUCAAGUCAUCCAGAUCCACGGUCAGCUCCUGCCCCGACUUGGCCUUCCUCCUGCUGGGCUGGCCCACGGACCUCGGGAACCUGCCCUGGCUGUGGGUGACCUGCAGCCUAUCUCCCAGGACUAUGGAAGCCCCAUGCAGGAACAUGGUUCUGACACUUUGGGGAUUAUACCCUAAGCUUAAAGGACUGGAAAAGCCCCUGAAGUCCCGAGACCACAACCCUCCACCUUCUAAAGAUAAGACAAGUCACUGAAGGUCUCAGAACUGUGGCCCAUUCACCCCUUCCCUCAAGACAAGAGUGUGGCCAAGCAUCAAUCUCACCCCCAGAGACCAGACGGUGUCCAGGUCUUGGGCAGACGAAACCUGCUCCUUGGGGAUGGUCUUCCUGGCUGUGCUUCCAAAGGGCUGGCCUGCAAUCAGCUGGUUUUCACUUGAUCCUUUCGGGGUUUGCAUUAUAUCUGACUGAAGGAAUGAACUGGGAGAGAACAGCAGAGCCGCAGCGGAAUGUGGAAAGGCCCACGUCCAGACUGUUCCCAUUCUGAUUUAAAAGCCUGAUGAAGGAACAGCUGAACUCAGAGAAACAGCAGAGGAAAGGUCCUGUGAGGGUACAGUGAGAAGAUGGCCAUCUACCAGCCAGGAGGAAAGGCCUAACAAGAAACCAACUCUGCUGGCACCUUGAUCGUGAACUCCCGCCCUCUAGAACUGUGAGAAAAUAAACGUCUGUUUAAGCCACCUGGUCUGUGGUAUUUUGUUAUGGAAGCCCGAGCAGACCAAUAUGCCUACUAAGCUCUGUGACCUAGAAGGCUCCUCUUCUGUCUUUUUCCUCCUGGAAUGUGAGAAAAUCUGGCAAAGUGGGAGCCAGAGAGGCUAGGCCACUAAAAGCCUGUGUGCGAAAUGAUCUGUACACAGCGAAUUGACUCCACCUUUCACACAUUACUACUUAAAUCAUGAAAGGAGCAUUGCAAGGAGGAAGUAUUUUAACAGCAGAAGAAAACAUGCCUCCAAUGUCAAGAAAUUUCAGCACAAUUUUGUGCAGCCAGGACCAGAUGAAGGGAAAGGCCAAGCAAUAUGUUUUGAGGACUGAAUAUCUAUGCUUCCCCAAAUUCAUAUGUUGAAAUCCUAACUUCCGAUGUGAAGAUAUUUGUAGGUGGGGCUUUAAGAGAUAAUUAGGUCACAAGGGCAGAGCCCCCAUGAGUGGGAUUAGUGCUCUUAGAAAAGGGACCCAAGAGGGCUGUCUCUCUUGCCCUCUUUCCGCCAUAUGAGAAUCCAAUGAGAUGGCAUCAUCUGCAAAUCAGGAAGAGGAUGCUCACCAGACACCAGAUCUGCCAGCACCUUGAUCUUGGACUCCUCAGCCUCUAGAACUGUAAGAAAUAACGUUUGUUGUUUAAGCAACCCAGUCUAUGGCAACUUGUUAUAGCAGCCUGAACUAAGAUAAUCUAUAAGGUAAGGCAAAUAAGAAAAAAAUCCAAACCCAAAAUGACUUUAAGCGACUCCUAGAGGAACCCUGCCAACAUCACUAAGUUCAGAGAGGUAAAAUCAGGCAACAAGCAGAAUUAUCUUCGGGGGUCCAUAAAAAUUUCCAGGUCUGGUCGCAACUGUCAUAUCUUGACACAAAGGGGCACAUAUUGGAUCCCAGAAAGUUCUAUGGACUUCUUAGGGCUUGCAAAAGUUGUAUAAUUUUAUUGAUUAUAUAAGUAAUACAUGUUCAUUGUUGAGAUUUUGGAAAUAAUAAUCUAUCAUCUGACCUCUCUGAGAAAACCAUUAUUAACCUUUUAACUUUCUACUUUCUGUUAUUUGCAUUCAUACAUGUUUAUCCAUUAUCCAUGUAGCAUUUUUUAUCAUGCUUUUGAACUCCAUUUUAUUUACAUCAUGAUGACUUGAUAGUGACAAAAAAGAUUCCAAAAUAUGAUUUUAAUGACAG